This 228-nucleotide ribosomal RNA is filed under the name uncultured bacterium. RNAcentral describes it as "partial 16S ribosomal RNA". It matches the Rfam family "Bacterial small subunit ribosomal RNA", at positions 568 to 795 of the family's 1533-position model. The record is from RNAcentral.
UGCGUAGGCGGAAUAUUAAGUCAGUGGUGAAAUCCUGCGGCUCAACCGUAGAACUGCCAUUGAUACUGAUAUUCUUGAAUGUAGUUGAGGUAGGCGGAAUGUGUAAUGUAGCGGUGAAAUGCUUAGAUAUUACACAGAACACCGAUUGCGAAGGCAGCUUACUAAGCUAUGAUUGACGCUGAGGUACGAAAGCGUGGGGAGCGAACAGGAUUAGAUACCCUGGUAGUC